GAUGAACGCUGGCGGCGUGCCUAAUACAUGCAAGUCGAGCGAACAGACGAGGAGCUUGCUCCUCUGACGUUAGCGGCGGACGGGUGAGUAACACGUGGAUAACCUACCUAUAAGACUGGGAUAACUUCGGGAAACCGGAGCUAAUACCGGAUAAUAUAUUGAACCGCAUGGUUCAAUAGUGAAAGACGGUUUUGCUGUCACUCAUAGAUGGAUCCGCGCCGCAUUAGCUAGUUGGUAAGGUAACGGCUUACCAAGGCAACGAUGCGUAGCCGACCUGAGAGGGUGAUCGGCCACACUGGAACUGAGACACGGUCCAGACUCCUACGGGAGGCAGCAGUAGGGAAUCUUCCGCAAAGGGCGAAAGCCUGACGGAGCAACGCCGCGUGAGUGAUGAAGGUCUUCGGAUCGUAAAACUCUGUUAUUAGGGAAGAACAAAUGUGUAAGUAACUAUGCACGUCUUGACGGUACCUAAUCAGAAAGCCACGGCUAACUACGUG
RNAcentral lists this ribosomal RNA (497 nucleotides) under uncultured bacterium. Its description in RNAcentral is "partial 16S ribosomal RNA". It matches the Rfam family "Bacterial small subunit ribosomal RNA", at positions 28 to 507 of the family's 1533-position model. The record is from RNAcentral.